This 265-nucleotide ribosomal RNA is filed under the name uncultured bacterium. Its description in RNAcentral is "partial 16S ribosomal RNA". The record is from RNAcentral.
CUGCUGCCUUCCGUAGGAGUCUGGGCCGUGUCUCAGUCCCAGUGUGGCCGUCCACCCUCUCAGGCCGGCUGCUGAUCGUCGCUUUGGUGGGCCGUUACCCCGCCAACUGGCUAAUCAGACGCGGGCCCAUCCUGUACCACCGGAGUUUUCAAAGGAUUACCAUGCGGUAUUCCCUAUUAUGCGGUAUUAGCACCUAUUUCUAAGUGUUAUCCCCCGGUANACGGCAGGUUNCCCACGCGUUACUCACCCGUCCGCCACUAACGCA